Molecule: ribosomal RNA, 444 nt
Filed under: uncultured bacterium
Lineage: Bacteria
Description: partial 16S ribosomal RNA
Rfam family: Bacterial small subunit ribosomal RNA
Source: RNAcentral
CUACGGGGGGCUGCAGUGGGGAAUAUUGCACAAUGGGCGCAAGCCUGAUGCAGCAACGCCGCGUGAGGGAUGAAGGCCUUCGGGUUGUAAACCUCUUUUAGCAGGGAAGAAGCGAAAGUGACGGUACCUGCAGAAAAAGCACCGGCUAACUACGUGCCAGCAGCCGCGGGAAUACGUAGGGUGCAAGCGUUGUCCGGAAUUAUUGGGCGUAAAGAGCUCGUAGGCGGUUUGUCACGUCUGCUGUGAAAAUCCAAGGCUCAACCUUGGACUUGCAGUGGGUACGGGCAGGCUAGAGUGCGGUAGGGGAGAUGGGAAUUCCUGGUGUAGCGGUGGAAUGCGCAGAUAUCAGGAGGAACACCAAUGGCGAAGGCACAUCUCUGGGCCGUAACUGACGCUGAGGAGCGAAAGCGUGGGGAGCGAACAGGAUUAGAUACCCCAGUAGUC